Molecule: long non-coding RNA, 408 nt
Filed under: Medicago truncatula (barrel medic)
Lineage: Eukaryota; Viridiplantae; Streptophyta; Magnoliopsida; Fabales; Fabaceae
Description: long non-coding RNA (MTRU_LNC007521)
Source: RNAcentral
UGAAAUUGUCACAAUUCAUGUUAUGCUACCCAAGGUUUUUAAAAUAGGAUGCUGCGGCGAUGAUUGUGGUCAUGUAAGGAUUUUUAUGUUUAUGAGGCAACAUUACGGCUUAAAUUGUGGCCACAUCAGCCGUAUUAGACUUCAGUUUUCCUUAACAUAUCAAGGAAUGUUGCUGCUACCUCUUUCAUUUAAAUUUGUCUUGGAUUGAUGAACUGUUUUGUUGCGAUCAUGUUUGUGAUUAAGGUUUAGAGUGAUAUGUGCUAUUGUGAUCAAAUUUUUGUUGCUGCUACCUCUUUCAUUUAAAUUUGUCUUGGAUUUGAUGAACUGUUUUGUUGCGAUCAUGUUUGUGAUUAAGGUUUAGAGUGAUAUGUGCUAUUGUGAUCAAAUUUUUGUGUAUUCAUUUAAGUG